RNAcentral lists this ribosomal RNA (478 nucleotides) under Fusarium chlamydosporum. RNAcentral describes it as "eukaryotic LSU rRNA". The stretch from base 123 to 276 matches the Rfam family "5.8S ribosomal RNA". The record is from RNAcentral. Lineage: Eukaryota; Fungi; Ascomycota; Sordariomycetes; Hypocreales; Nectriaceae.
GAACAUACCUAUACGUUGCCUCGGCGGAUCAGCCCGCGCCCCGUAAAACGGGACGGCCCGCCCGAGGACCCCUAAACUCUGUUUUUAGUGGAACUUCUGAGUAAAACAAACAAAUAAAUCAAAACUUUCAACAACGGAUCUCUUGGUUCUGGCAUCGAUGAAGAACGCAGCAAAAUGCGAUAAGUAAUGUGAAUUGCAGAAUUCAGUGAAUCAUCGAAUCUUUGAACGCACAUUGCGCCCGCCAGUAUUCUGGCGGGCAUGCCUGUUCGAGCGUCAUUUCAACCCUCAAGCUCAGCUUGGUGUUGGGACUCGCGGUAACCCGCGUUCCCCAAAUCGAUUGGCGGUCACGUCGAGCUUCCAUAGCGUAGUAAUCAUACACCUCGUUACUGGUAAUCGUCGCGGCCACGCCGUAAAACCCCAACUUCUGAAUGUUGACCUCGGAUCAGGUAGGAAUACCCGCUGAACUUAAGCAUAUCAA